GCUGCUGCUGAGUAAGCUUUUAUGUUCCAUGCUGAGUAGCAUUCAUUCUUUGGUCAACAGCAAGACUUGUGGAAAGCUUCAUCUCCAGUGUUUGUAUCACUACACUGUUUAGUUUGUAGGGUGAAAACCAAAGCUUUCUCCUACUUUAUUUUGGCUACUUUGACACUGUGUGUGGCUGCUGGCCAUGCAUUAAUAGUACAUAAGAAAGCUGCAGAUCAAAGAACUACCUGACCCAGAGGCCACAGAGUAACAGAGAAAGAGACAGAAAAACUAGUGUGAUGUUCCCUUGAUAUAACCAACCACCCUGCAGCCUGGGGACCUCCUGAAUCAGAGACUGUAUCCACAGCUCUGUGCUGAACAGUCCUCAAGAGACCUAUCAUCCUCUCCAAAUGCAUCUAAUUGCUUUCUGAAUCCAGUUAUAUUUUCCUCCUUGGCAUGUUCAAAAGCUUCAUUUGUUACAGGCUAAUGAGCUUAAUAAGCUGAAGCUGUGUUUUUAUUGAAAGGUUAAUGAUUGCAAACAUUUAAAUAGUUAAAUCAACUCCUUAACUGAGUAUGGAGUUACAGAGGAAGGUAACAAACAAACCUAACCCUUCCAGGAAGACUGCUGAGGAAUUUUUGGGAAUGUUGGUUUUGUGCAGUGCCCAAGUGACCAAAGGAAUGAAAUGAAGACAAAUGGCAGUAAAAUAAUUCCAGAGGGUGCUACAAGCUUGGCCGUGCCUGAAAUGUACCCUGCAAACUCAGACUGCCUCCAGUACCCAGGGAUUAUUGCUCUUGAUUGUCUACUUUGUUUACCCUUGGCUACACAGUGAUUCAGCUUCAGAAGGAAGGAGAACAAAGCUGCACCCUUCACUCUGCCUUCAACGUCUGUCAAACAAGCCCCAGUUAGGAAAAAUGUGAGUCCAAAUCCAGAGAAACCCCUUCAGACAUCUUAAGAAGUCCAGAUGGAUUAUGCUGCUGGGAUCCUGCCCAGAAUCCCUUCCCAGAGCAGGGCUUGCUUUCAAGCUAUUGAAAAAACACCAUGGAGCUUUACUCCAGACCAAAGCAGCUGCCCAGUGGCAAGGUGGACACAAUCCAGCCCUGUCCAUGAAGGAAUCACUCUGUGCAUCUCCCCCGAAGAACUGAACUGCUGCCUCCAGCCUGAAGUCAUGGCCAAACUGAGAUCAGCAGAAGACACUGCUCUCAGUUCCUUGAUAUCACACAACACAAGAAUUUGGCAGAAGUUUUAAAGGAAAUUACCUUUGUGAGUAUCUUGUAGGGGCUGCAUAGUUAUGAACCUCAGGUAUCCUAGGAAAGAUUAAUGUAUCAAUAGGCAUGGAAUUUCUUUAGUAUCGCCUCACUGUCUCUGCGACCAGUUCAAGGGAUGAGAUUCACAAAGCAGAUAUCUCCAAGCCAUUGCUGAGACUCACUGGAGAGAAAAAAAAACACUUUGAGAUUCAUCCAAGCCAUAGCUACAGCAAAGAACCAAAAUAAGUUUUCUGUCAUCCCGCCUCACAGCUGAAGAGAAAAGUGGAAGAUUGAAAUAAGCAUCUUGACCACAGGUGAUUGUCAGCAGUCACAGAAGCUCCACAACUAACAGGAGAGCUCGGAGCUGCCUGGGGAGAUUUCUGUAGAGUCUUCAAGGCAAACUAAACCUGACCCUCCAGUGGCAGCCUCCUGCCUGAACCCUGACCUCACCUUCAAAGCACAGGGCAGAUCUGAGCUGCCAGCUGAUGUGGGAAACUCUCCUGGGCUUUAAUUGUGGUGCAUAUUUUGCAGUUCACCAAAGACACAGAAAUUAAUGAACUUUAAUGGAAAACCACAUCAGUGAAAAUCUGCUGGAAGUCACCCCCAGAAGAAAGGAUUCCUGCUUGCCAAGAUGAUAAACACUUUUGGGAUGAUGAGGAUGUUUGCAAAUCGGAGACCGUGGUGGCUGCUCUGUGGGGGCUGCAGUUGUGAGUGGCCUUUCCAUUUUGGGGAUCAGUGUGCUAAAUUAAAAACCUACAAGAAACCCUUUAAUUUAGGUUAAUGGGAUGUCAAAUAUUAACUGGAUUAAGGCAAUUUUUUUUAAAGAGGAAUUAGCCUCAUUAGUCUCCCAGGGCAGAUUCUUAGAAGGUGUAAAUCAGUGUUAUACAUCAAAGCUCAAGGGAGACUGUACAGUUGUUCACUAAAUGGAGUCUGUGCUCUUGUACUUUUUCAUACACAUAUCUAUGAACCAUGUACUUAGAUUAAAUUUGAUCUGUCUUCCCCCUCCCACCAUUUUGAGGAUUAAAAAUUAAAUUAUAUGGCUCCUUACUUACCCACUUCCUUUCCAGUCCAUUAACUUCAUCCUUCUUGUUUUCAGGUCCUACAAAGUGAUGGAAAACUUCCUUUAUGCAUAGGGAAUUUGGGGAAUGAUACCAUGAUAUCUGGGAGAAGGGAUGCUGGGAGAGUAUUAUUUGCAAUCACAACUUUCAGAGCUAUGCUUUAAUACAAAAUGAGGAGGAAAAUAUCUUUCAGCAGAGCUGUUUGAGAGUUCACAUUUGAAAUAUUUGGUGGAUGGUUAGUUUCCACAGCAUGAAAAAUUAUGCAAUGGGAAAAUGUUCCUACUGCUUAAAAUCAAAAUCAUAUUUUUUUCAUCACAGAAAUACUUUGUUCCAUCUCAGAAAGCAAAAAGCACUGCCCUUAUGCUCAGAGGAGGCACAUUUUAAAUUUUAAAUUUUGGGGAAGGGAAAGUCUUCUCUGCAAUAAAAGAGAGUAAAUGUUUAAAAUGAUCUUUAAAUCACUGCCCCUUCACACCAUACCACCAGGCAGGCUUGUUAGCUCAAUGCUGCAGAGUUUCAAAGCCUGCUAUUUUGCAUCCAAGACACAGCAAUAUGGUAACUAUUGUCUUGCUUUGGGCUGAAUAUUUUUCUUAUUGAAGGAAUAUGAUGUCUUUAGGGUCUUUUUGCUGAAGGUAUUUCCACAUCCCAAAAAUUACCAUCAUACACAGACAUUGAUUCUCCUCAUGGGUACCCUCAACAGAGAGGGCAAAGACUGAAAGGGCCAAGGUGACUGAAAAAGCCUGAAAAUUAAAGAUAGUAGGAACUCUUGGUUUUAAAUGAAGGU
Passer domesticus (house sparrow) is the source of this 3063-nucleotide long non-coding RNA. RefSeq lists it as uncharacterized. Lineage: Eukaryota; Metazoa; Chordata; Aves; Passeriformes; Passeridae. The transcript has 7 exons. The record is from RefSeq and is a predicted model, not a curated record.